AUCCUUAUUGCGGUAGCGGGGCUUAGAUUUUUAUUGGUCUAGCGGGCUUACAUUUUUAAGUUUCGGAUAUGUGUUGGGAAUAUCUGGCGACGAAGGUUGCUAGAUGUAACACAGCAAAGGCGUAACCUGGGAUACGCCUUUGCUGUGUUACAAUGGUAUCGAGACGGGACCGCACGACUUCCGUAACAAACUUCGGGUCGGCGGUUCGAUUCUGGCAACCAGCAAGUCGCAAAUUGGCGAUUUCAUGGUGUAAUGGAUAAACCAGCGCACUGGCGCGAGGUGGGAUGGCUCCUGUGCUCGAAAUAAUGGCCGAGGACGUCCAUUGCUAAGUGGGGGGCAAUGUAACGACGCAAAUGCCAAUCUGAGCAUCCCGGGUUACGCCUUUGCUGUGUUACACUAGAGCUUUACGUCCGCGCAAAGAUCUUCUGAUAGCGUCACGCAAAAGGCUGCGUUGGUCGUUCGUUACAGAAGCCCAUGUCAGGCCGCAGUCAGGCACGCAUGGGCGGUAUGUGUGUGAUUGUGAUAUGUGAGUGCGUCCAGGCUCCGUGCACUGCACUUGAUCCGAUGAGGGCAAACAAGACUCCCACCCAGACCAGACAACGCAAGUGUCACCUAGACGGCCAAAAGCAAACCCAAUGGGAAGGCUCAGGACCCGCAACCACUGGGGCAUUUUCCAUUAGACUCCCCAACUGCCGAAAGUCCUCAGACCUCCACCAGAAAGCCCAUCAGCAAAUACUGAUAAGAACUUGCACGUUGUUUGUUACUAGAUGAUGACGCCUGAACCGCAAAAACUCCCCAAUUAAAAGAAACCAAUAAAAAGGAGCAAAAAUAGGUUAUAGCUAAUCGUCCAUCGGUGGCCUCUCCCGUGAUCGUAAGAACUUGUGUGACACAAAUCACAAGAAGGGGUGAUGUGACCCAGAACAGAAUCCCACUUUUUCCAUGGAACGCCCAAAGCUGCGAAUCCCGGAAGGCGGCCCCAAAAGUCAACAACGAACUCGAUGAAUGGCUCCUGGAAGGCAAGGGGCAGGCAACAGUGCCGGGUUGUUAUCGCCGCCCAUGCUCCAUAGCUGACACCGCAGCAAGAGCCACAACAUCCCAAACACAUUGUUUUGCACUUUUUGCAGAGCUUGGACAAGCCAAAGUUGUUCGCGUGACACUGGAAAUCCUAUCGACCGAGUGAAUUGAAUUGAAG
This 1192-nucleotide long non-coding RNA is filed under the name Volvox carteri. RNAcentral describes it as "long non-coding RNA (VCAR_LNC002547)". Lineage: Eukaryota; Viridiplantae; Chlorophyta; Chlorophyceae; Chlamydomonadales; Volvocaceae. The record is from RNAcentral.